Molecule: ribosomal RNA, 498 nt
Filed under: uncultured bacterium
Lineage: Bacteria
Description: partial 16S ribosomal RNA
Rfam family: Bacterial small subunit ribosomal RNA
Source: RNAcentral
GACGAACGCUGGCGGCGUGCCUAAUACAUGCAAGUCGAGCGGACGAAUCGAAAGCUUGCUUUUGAUUCGUUAGCGGCGGACGGGUGAGUAACACGUGGGCAACCUGCCCUGUAGACGGGGAUAACACCGAGAAAUCGGUGCUAAUACCGGAUAACACGAAAUGUCGCAUGACGUUUCGUUGAAAGACGGCGCAAGCUGUCGCUACAGGAUGGGCCCGCGGCGCAUUAGCUAGUUGGUGAGGUAACGGCUCACCAAGGCGACGAUGCGUAGCCGGCCUGAGAGGGUGAUCGGCCACACUGGGACUGAGACACGGCCCAGACUCCUACGGGAGGCAGCAGUAGGGAAUCUUCCGCAAUGGACGAAAGUCUGACGGAGCAACGCCGCGUGAGCGAAGAAGGCCUUCGGGUCGUAAAGCUCUGUUGUUAGGGAAGAACAAGUAACGCAGUAACUGGCGUUACCGUGACGGUACUUAACGAGAAAGCCACGGCUAACUACGUG